GACGAACGCUGGCGGCGUGCUUAACACAUGCAAGUCGAACGAAGAGCGACGGAAGCUUGCUUCUAUCAAUCUUAGUGGCGAACGGGUGAGUAACGCGUAAUCAACCUGCCCUUCAGAGGGGGACAACAGUUGGAAACGACUGCUAAUACCGCAUACGAUCUAACCUCGGCAUCGAGGAUAGAUGAAAGGUGGCCUCUACAUGUAAGCUAUCACUGUAGGAGGGGAUUGCGUCUGAUUAGCUAGUUGGUGGGGUAACGGCCCACCAAGGCGAUGAUCAGUAGCCGGUCUGAGAGGAUGAACCGCCACAUUGGGACUGAGACACGGCCCAGACUCCUACGGGAGGCAGCAAUGGGGAAUCUUCCGCAAUGGACGAAAGUCUGACGGAGCAACGCCGCGUGAGUGAUGACGGCCUUCGGGUUGUAAAGCUCUGUUAAUCGGGACGAAAGGCCUUCUUGCGAAUAGUGAGAAGGAUUGACGGUACCGGAAUAGAAAGCCACGGCUAACUACGUG
RNAcentral lists this ribosomal RNA (510 nucleotides) under uncultured bacterium. Its description in RNAcentral is "partial 16S ribosomal RNA". It matches the Rfam family "Bacterial small subunit ribosomal RNA", at positions 28 to 507 of the family's 1533-position model. The record is from RNAcentral.